This 85-nucleotide transfer RNA is filed under the name Felis catus (domestic cat). It matches the Rfam family "tRNA". Rfam says of the family: Transfer RNA (tRNA) molecules are approximately 80 nucleotides in length. Their secondary structure includes four short double-helical elements and three loops (D, anti-codon, and T loops). The record is from Rfam by way of RNAcentral. Lineage: Eukaryota; Metazoa; Chordata; Mammalia; Carnivora; Felidae.
ACCUGGGUGGCUCAGUCGGUUGAGCGUCUGACUUUGGCUCAGGCUGUGAUCUCAUGGUUUGUGAGUUCAAGUCCCACAUCAGGCU